GGCCCGGUAGCUCAGUCGGUAGAGCAGAGGACUGAAAAUCCUUGUGUCGGUGGUUCGAUUCCGCCCUUGGCCACCA
This 76-nucleotide transfer RNA is filed under the name Nitrosomonas sp. RNAcentral describes it as "tRNA-Phe". It matches the Rfam family "tRNA". From Rfam's summary of the family: Transfer RNA (tRNA) molecules are approximately 80 nucleotides in length. Their secondary structure includes four short double-helical elements and three loops (D, anti-codon, and T loops). Further hydrogen bonds mediate the characteristic L-shaped molecular structure. tRNAs have two regions of fundamental functional importance: the anti-codon, which is responsible for specific mRNA codon recognition, and the 3' end, to which the tRNAs corresponding amino acid is attached (by aminoacyl-tRNA synthetases). tRNAs cope with the degeneracy of the genetic code in two manners: having more than one tRNA (with a specific anti-codon) for a particular amino acid; and 'wobble' base-pairing, i.e. permitting non-standard base-pairing at the 3rd anti-codon position. Lineage: Bacteria; Pseudomonadati; Pseudomonadota; Betaproteobacteria; Nitrosomonadales; Nitrosomonadaceae. The record is from RNAcentral.